Molecule: ribosomal RNA, 301 nt
Filed under: uncultured bacterium
Lineage: Bacteria
Description: partial 16S ribosomal RNA
Rfam family: Bacterial small subunit ribosomal RNA
Source: RNAcentral
CAGCAGCCGCGGUAAUACAGAGGGUGCGAGCGUUAAUCGGAUUUACUGGGCGUGAAGCGUGCGUAGGCGGCUUCUUAAGUCGGAUGUGAAAUCCCUGAGCUUAACUUAGGAAUUGCAUUCGAUACUGGGAAGCUAGAGUAUGGGAGAGGAUGGUAGAAUUCCAGGUGUAGCGGUGAAAUGCGUAGAGAUCUGGAGGAAUACCGAUGGCGAAGGCAGCCAUCUGGCCUAAUACUGACGCUGAGGUACGAAAGCAUGGGGAGCAAACAGGAUUAGAGACCCCCGUAGUCCCUGUCUCUUAUAC